UAGGGAAUCUUCCACAAUGGACGCAAGUCUGAUGGAGCAACGCCGCGUGAGUGAAGAAGGUCUUCGGAUCGUAAAACUCUGUUGUUAGAGAAGAACACGAGUGAGAGUAACUGUUCAUUCGAUGACGGUAUCUAACCAGCAAGUCACGGCUAACUACGUGCCGA
This 164-nucleotide ribosomal RNA is filed under the name uncultured bacterium. Its description in RNAcentral is "partial 16S rRNA". It matches the Rfam family "Bacterial small subunit ribosomal RNA", at positions 355 to 511 of the family's 1533-position model. The record is from RNAcentral.